Molecule: long non-coding RNA, 669 nt
Filed under: Homo sapiens (human)
Lineage: Eukaryota; Metazoa; Chordata; Mammalia; Primates; Hominidae
Description: long non-coding RNA NONHSAT180002.1
Source: RNAcentral
GCAGUGUGUAAGACGCUCACGGGCGCGCGGACUAUCGGGCGGCUAGGCUCUCUGAGGAGGCUGCCACAGUGAAGCAACCGUGACAAGUGGUGCCCGACCAGGGACCUGAACGAGGAAGGUCUGCCAGAGCAGAGAAAGUGAAACUGAUCAGACGAACUACGAACCCCUGGACGGGAGAGUCUGCCGGCGGAGAAUAUAAGCAGAACGACACUGGCAACUGCUAGAGGAAAAGAGGCAAGUUUAUCCAAAAGUGUUAUGGAAAUCCCCAGAAGAAGGACAAUGGAAAGGUCCGGUGGAUUUGCUGACGUGGGGACGAGGGUAUGCUUGUGUUUUUACAGGAGAUGGACAAACCGUGUGGGUGCCCUCCAGGUGUGUGUGACCAUGGAACGGGAGACCGGAGGGAUCCAUGGUAUUCAACCGUGGGCCUGUUACCUCCAGUACGAGCCAUGAGCCAGCGGAAUCUGAAUGCAAAGACAGAACAAGGGCCGACCGGAGUCACAAUGACAUCCAACCCCAUAACAUGGGGACAGAUCAAGAAAACGACACAAGAAGCUGAGAAACUACUGGAGCGCCAGGGUCAGGCAAAAACCCCUGACUCCAUGUUCUUGGCCAUGCUAGCUGUAGUGUCCUGUGCGUCUAUAGGAUCGGGUGAACCACCAACCGGCAAUU